This 72-nucleotide non-coding RNA is filed under the name bovine gut metagenome. RNAcentral describes it as "Cyclic di-GMP-I riboswitch". It matches the Rfam family "c-di-GMP-I riboswitch aptamer", at positions 12 to 86 of the family's 87-position model. Rfam says of the family: GEMM was predicted in a large-scale screen for bacterial structured RNA regulatory elements. Genes associated with GEMM are involved in a diverse array of functions, including chemotaxis regulation, signal transduction, secretion and chitin. The record is from RNAcentral.
UCAAUAGCAAACUUGUCGCAAGACAAGGACGCAAAGCUAAAGGGCCUAACGAUAUAGGUAGCCAGUUGCCGA